This 410-nucleotide long non-coding RNA is filed under the name Mytilus galloprovincialis (Mediterranean mussel). Lineage: Eukaryota; Metazoa; Mollusca; Bivalvia; Mytilida; Mytilidae. The record is from RNAcentral.
CAAAUAGUAGGAUAAUAUCUUACUACGAACAUAUUUACAUUUAUUCUUCACACUUAAGAGACAUCUAAUCCUGCAAUUUUGUAGAUCGAGAGCACUUUGCUAUAUUCUAAGCACUGAAUAAACCAUUGUCUAGUGUCAUAUAUGACAGCAUCGAUAAUACUAGUCGAUUAAAAAUUUGUGUACUAAAACACGAUUUUCGGAAGCACGCCAUAGUGUUGUCGAUAUAAUGGAAUUGAAAGCGACUGUUAUACAGGUGAGAGGAUCAGCUAGCUAUAAUAAAAUUAAUGGUACCAAUUUUGUUGCACCAGAUGCGCAUUUCGACAAUACAUGUCUCUUCAGUGAUGCUCGUGGCCGAAAUAUUUUAAACCCAAAGCUUAUAUAAAAAAUGAAGAGCUUUAAUCCAAAAGGCC